Molecule: long non-coding RNA, 630 nt
Filed under: Homo sapiens (human)
Lineage: Eukaryota; Metazoa; Chordata; Mammalia; Primates; Hominidae
Description: HSALNT0274244
Source: RNAcentral
GGCUCAGCCCUCUGGUUACUCCAGGAAGCUGCCGGUCUUCACCCACACAGAGCCCCGGCCCUUCAGGAUCUUUAAAGAUAUCAUCAGUUAAAUGAAGACAAAGUCAGACUGGAUUUUGGUGGGCCCCCAUUCCAAUGGCUGCCGUCGUUAUAAGGAGGCGGCAGGAAGACGCGGAGAUGGAGGCAGAGGCAGCACUUGGAGAGAUGUGUCUACAAGCCACAGGACACCAAGGCUUACCAGCGGCCACCAGGAGCCAGGAGAGGCAUGGGACAGGUCCUUCCCCACAGCCUGCAGAGGAGCUCAGCCCUGCCAACAGGCAUUCGAGCUUCUACUUCCCAGAACUGUGGGGGAAUACGUCUCCGUGGUUUUAAGCCCCCAGUUUGCAUUUCAGCAGCUCUAGGAAGCCAGUACAGUACUGAAUUCAAUAUUCAUUUAAUCCGAGUUUCAUUUUUAACUGCAUGGUAUGCGGUGUCUCCUGUUUCUCCCUAAGCCAAUCAAGCCUCAUUUAAAAAGAAGAAAAAGGACUCCCAAAGAGUAGCAUGGUGGCCUGCUCAGGAACGCAGGGGCAGAGGCAGCAGCAGGGGCAGGGGCAGCAGCAGGGGCAGGGGCAGAGGCAGCGGCAGGGGCAGG